This 477-nucleotide long non-coding RNA is filed under the name Felis catus (domestic cat). RNAcentral's name for it is "lncRNA (ENSFCAG00000053723.1)". The record is from RNAcentral. Lineage: Eukaryota; Metazoa; Chordata; Mammalia; Carnivora; Felidae.
CUUUGCACUUUUUACUACCAGCAAAAUGACAUGAUGGAUCUGUGAAUAUAUUCACUCAUUUUCCACCUUUUAAUAAAUAUGCUGGGGUAACACAAGCAUUAACGAUGAUGAAAGGGACUCCUAACAUCCAUGGGAAAUAUGUGAAAGUCAAGUGAAGUUAUCAUUUCCCCUCAACUCAAAGGAACACCUAAAAGUAUUAGAAGAUUUUACAGUAUUCCACAUUCAAGACAGACUGAACUCAUUGAUGGCAAAAUUGGAGCAUCAGCCAUCAAGCCUUGACCAUGGUAUGUUAUAUUAUUUUAUGUGUUGGGACGACUUAGUUAUAAGUACUUCGUGUUGAACAGUAUUUUGAACAUUCCAAAAAACGUUGUUGGUGAAUGGCCAAAGAAAAAGGUCUUCACAUAUAACUUCCCAAAUUGGAAAGCACUUUUGUAUCACUAAGAAAUACUUUUGUCUCCAGUUGCUGCAAACAUCACC